AGCACUCCUAGGGAGGCAGCAGUGGGGAAUAUUGCACAAUGGGCGCAAGCCUGAUGCAGCCAUGCCGCGUGUAUGAAGAAGGCCUUCGGGUUGUAAAGUACUUUCAGCAGUGAGGAAGGUGGAUAUGUUAAUAGCAUAUUCAUUUGACGUUGCUGCAGAAGAAGCACCGGCUAACUCCGUGCCAGCAGCCGCGGUAAUACGGAGGGUGCGAGCGUUAAUCGGAAUUACUGGGCGUAAAGCGCAUGCAGGUGGUUUGUUAAGUCAGAUGUGAAAGCCCGGGGCUCAACCUCGGAAUUGCAUUUGAAACUGGCAAACUAGAGUACUGUAGAGGGGGUAGAAUUUCAGGUGUAGCGGUGAAAUGCGUAGAGAUCUGAAGGAAUACCGGUGGCGAAGGCGGCCCCCUGGACAGAUACUGACACUCAGAUGCGAAAGCGUGGGGAGCAAACAGGAUUAGAUACCCUGGUAG
Molecule: ribosomal RNA, 466 nt
Filed under: uncultured bacterium
Lineage: Bacteria
Description: bacterial SSU rRNA
Rfam family: Bacterial small subunit ribosomal RNA
Source: RNAcentral